UUUUUAUAGCAAUUUGUUGCUAAUGUUUUCCAAGGAAUUUGAAAUGUUAAAAUGUCUCUUGUCUUCUUUACUGCCAAGUAAAUAGACAGCUAGUAGAUCUCAUGCUGUAACAUUUGAAUUAAGGUCUAUAAAGGACCUGCCAUUCUUCAUAGACACUUUACCAAUAAAUGUGUUAGGUUAAUAUUAGUCCAAUGAUAGCUAAGCUGUACUUGAUUGAAUAUAGAAUAGCUAUGUGGGCUAGAAAUUCUGUUCUUUUUCCAGAUUUAGAUUUAAGUCGAAUAGGAUUAUAUCAAACAUUUUGUUAAAUUAUAUUGCAUUUUUUAGCUCUUUAAAGAAUCAGUACCACCAAGCUGGUAGCUCCAGAGAGUGCUAGAAUUUCAUUUUCCUUCUGGCUAGCAACUAGAUCAUGAAGAGCAGGUCUAUCUACUUGACUGCCCCAAUAAGGUCUUAAAAAAUAUGAUGUUAGACUACACUGUAAUCAUAUUUUUAAUGAAAAAUACCAAAGACCUAUUGAGAUUGUAAUCACAAGUCUUAACAUCUUUUUCCCUGAGAUUCAGGACUACUAUUGGUAAUGUGCAGUGAUGAACAUUAUGCUGAGAAAAAAGUUGUUUUUCUUCUUUUUAAUAUCGUACUUUCAUGAUUUUAUUUGCAAGUUUAGCACAUCUGGCUUUUUAUUUUCUUUCAAUAGUAGUUAUUUGCAAUUAGAAUAUGUUCUCCUUAGACAGAGUAUGCCGCACCACACAUUCUGAAGAAACAGACCUUGUCAUAGUUAUGCGUAGCAAUGAGGGCUGAGUGUGCAUUUCCUUUCACUAUCAUUUUCACAUAAAUUGUUCCUUAUUAAAGCAGAUAUUUUAAAAUGCUAUAAACAAUCAAAAGAACCCCUCGGAGCAUUUUAAUAUCUUUCAAACUGUUGCUUAAAAUUUUGUGCUGCUCAGCUUUGUUCAUGUGAUAGAGCCCCUGCAAAGGACUUGCAAAAAAACUCUAAAGAGAGGGUGUUUAAACUUAAAAUAAUUAACACCUAAUCUUUUGCAGAAUCUCAUAUCACAUUGUUGUAUACUCACUUCAUGCGUUAGCUUAAAAAAUAGAGAAGAAAUAUUAUGUGUCACCAAUUGAAGAAAAUUUUGGAAGAGAAACAAAACUAAAUUAACUUAAAAAUUUUGCAGCUGUGACGAAUUGGUACAUUGCCACUACAUGGGCUAACUCACAAAGUGAGCCUCACAGUCAAAUAAAGAAUGGGGGGCAAUGUUCAAUAUGAAUAUAGGCUUACCUGACUUUUUCUUUUUCUUUUUCUUUUUCUUUUUCUUUUUCUUUUUCUUUUUCUUUUUCUUUUUCUUUUUCUUUUUCUUUUUCUUUUUUUUUCUUUCUCUUUCUCUCUCUCUCUCUCUAUAUAUAUAUAUAGAGAGAGAGAGAGAGAGAGGAGAGACAGUGGUAUCCCCUGCUUUUCAAAAGUUUGUGUUUCACAAAGACCUACAUUAGCAACUGUUUUUGCUAACCUAAUGAUACCUGAAGAAGAUUUGCACUUAUAUGAAUAAAGGCAAAAAGUGAAAAUAGCAUUUAGGGCUUGUCUUGCAGUGAGCCUUAGGGAGGCAAGCGUGCACCCAGAGCAGAGAGCCGCCUUGCCAAGCGCCUUCCCCAGGAACUGUACUGUUUCUCAGCAUCCACUGCCAGGGCUUUGAAUGGCAUCUGCAAGCGUCUGUGCUUGAUCUCCAUUUAUUUUGUGCAUCCCUUAGUAAAAUGUGUCCUAAGGUAUCAGAAAAGCCGAAGAACGGUUAAUUUUUGGAUCUGACAACACUAAAAAGAUUUCCAUAUAAAUGAAUGGUGAUUGUUUCUUUGCUCUCUGCCAUUUUGGCUUAGAAAGUUUUCAUAGAAAUGCUAUAAGGGUAAACACACACACACAUGCACACAAAUAGAUAAAUAUAUAUUUAUAUAAAACUAUUAGUGCAACGUUUAAAAUAAAAUGAAAACCAAAGGGGAAUCUGAUAAAAUAAGGUAGGUGUGUCCUACAGUAGGAAUCCAGGAUUUUAAAAAGAGAGCCUCUUAGCCUUUGGUCUGUGCUGCAGAGCUGAGCAUAUCAGAAGAUAGUUCACGUACAUUUGCAUAAUUUCUUUAA
Molecule: long non-coding RNA, 2110 nt
Filed under: Canis lupus familiaris (dog)
Lineage: Eukaryota; Metazoa; Chordata; Mammalia; Carnivora; Canidae
Description: lncRNA (ENSCAFG00000055595.1)
Source: RNAcentral